This 83-nucleotide small RNA is filed under the name Flavobacterium noncentrifugens. Its description in RNAcentral is "Flavo-1 RNA". It matches the Rfam family "Flavo-1 RNA". The record is from Rfam by way of RNAcentral. Lineage: Bacteria; Pseudomonadati; Bacteroidota; Flavobacteriia; Flavobacteriales; Flavobacteriaceae.
AUUUAGCCCCGAUAGCAGUGGAAAUCCUUAGCUAUUAAAUGCUAAUUUAAUAGCUAAGAUUGCAACGGAUAGCGGGACAAAAG